UCUAGACCCUGAGCACAACUGCACGGGAGACCAAGUCCUGCUCUGCAGAGAACUCAUCCUCCUUCCAGGACAAGGACCCUCAGUGGGAGUCAAGCCGUGGAUCUGCUGUACACGGUUGAGGCUGGCUUCUGAUCCAACUACAAGUCCACGGUCCUUGGCAGUUACAGAAAAGACAACCACAACACUGACUGAAAGCCAGUUCUCCUUCCUGCAAGUCUGGACCAGGGCUUCGGUUAAAAUUAAAGGAAGUAUCUUAGAUAAGUAGUGAAUGACUUGUGGCCAUUCAUAAUAACAUUUGUAAUUGGCUGGAGCAUUUUUCUGAUUUAUUAUUUGCUUAGAUCCCUUUGCUUGCUUCUUGAUUCAUGUAAUCAUUUUACCUGUGAUUACAUUGCAGUCAAUCAAACCUGUAAUUUGUUGUGAUAUUGACAAUAGGAGAUAUUUCAUCCUUGCUCUAUUUUAAUUUAACCCUUGUGAUAAUAGAGUUUGUACCAAAGUUUAGGGCCAGUGCUAUUUUCCCAUACGAGCUGUUGGCCCCAACUGUAAUAAUGCUUCUUGCUUUUCUUUACUGUCUCAUCCCACUGGUGUCUGCUGCUUCCUGGAAGGAAAAUUCUCUCAUUAGGUUGUCUCAGAGUAUACCAAGAGGUGGGAAUUUAAGUAAUUGUUGGAUAUGUCAUUUGAAAUCUCAAACUAUUCGUGAACAGUAUAUCCCAUCGGUGGUCCCUAUAACUGAUUUUGAUACUGUGCCAGACCCCUUAACCUUCUAUAAUCUUCCUCCUUCAAGCUUCACAUUCCAAGUUCAGAUAACCAAGAGACCUCAGAAUAUCCCAAUCCCUUGCUUCAACCUGUCUGAAGUAAUUUCCAUUGGAGGAAACGUUACUACCGGUCCCCCGCGGUCCCUCAAAUUUCUCCUGGAGAAAUGUGAUGCCCAAAAUCCCCUGAAAUGUACACUUGACAAAUGUGUAAGGGCUAAAAAUGACACGAAUUUAUGCCAGAUAGCCAGACAAGUUGGAUAUCAUGUAAAUGGACUAUGGAAGGCUUGCAGUGGCUCUCACCCCUGGCUUGAAAACAUAAUCUCUGAACUCCCCAAAAAUGAAAGAAUCAAUGACGUGACCCUGGGAGGUAUAACUUGCUCCCCUCCAGGAUAUAUCUUUGUCUGUGGCAUAGGGAGUGACUCACCAACACAAGGAUGGGCACAUCGCUGCUUAGACAGCUGGCAAAUGGAAGGGUCAUGCUUAUUGGGAUAUUUUAGGAUCCCUUUUUCUGUGCAUAGUCUGGAGAGCAUGACUUCUCUCUCUAAAUCAAACACCCGUCUUAAAAGAGAGAUAUUGGCAGGGUAGGGGGACAAUAUAGGACAAAGUAUUUUUGCCAAACUCACACCAACUGCCAGAGUUUAUGUCAAUAGAGAUAUGAUUCAUAAUGUAUCUGCCGCAAUUGGACAAAUUGCUGAGGACACAGCUAAAAGUAUUGCAGCCCAACAAACAUCUUUGAACUCAUUGGCUCGAGUGGUCCUGGAUAAUAGAAUAGCCCUUGACUUCUUAUUGGCAAAACAAAGAUUAUGUGCAGUGGCUCAUCCCACAUGCUGCACAUAUGUCAAUACCUCUGGAGAAGUUGAAACCCAAGUAAACAGAAUAAUUGAAAAGGCUACCUGGUUAUAGGAUGUUUAUAAAGAGGACACGUACCAGGACUUAUUUUUGUGAUAGCGAUCUGGAAUAGGGGGACUCUUCUGAGUACUGUUACAAGGCUCCAUCUGAUCAUCACCCUCUUUGUAAUGUGUUCAUUAAUUUUCACAUAUUUCUCCAGAUACUAUGACAAAGUGAUCAAAGAGGGAGAUAAUGUUUCAUAAUGCAAAAUACUGAUGCUAGGCCUGGGACUUGAGAAUUCUUAGAAAAGAAGGUCCAAGACUUUCUCUCCUCUAAUCCUGAAGAAUUGACAUCGCCCCUGUUCAGCAGGAAGUAGCCAGAACGGUCGUCGCCCCAUUCCCCUUAGGAUUGAGGAGUAUCGAAGAGAAGAGGGAACUGAAACGGAGCUUGACCCUGCAGUGCCCUCCUUCAUACAAUUCCCUCUUGUCCCCACUUCUUUUUUGUAGAAAAAGCUAGAGUUUUUGAGGCCUUGUCAGAGUUCCAAAGAGCAGACUCAAGCAGUUAAUGAUUACAGAAAUGAGGAAAUCCAGAAACAAAGGAAAAGCAACCAAGCAAGAAAAGUUCAGCCAUAAAACAGAGUCACAGGACUCCUAGUUCCUCCUCAAGGGAUAUAGAUAACAAUCUGAUGCAACAUAUCCUUGAGUUGUCUUACAGAAACCAGGACCCUGUGAUGAAACCUGCUGACCACAGCCAAGGAGACUCAGAGAAGUUGGAGCCAGACGAGUGAUGACCAGCAUGCCAGAUAUCACUUUAUUGCUUAACACCCAUCCAAUCAGAAGAAUCCAUGAGCUAAUCUCAUGCUUCAGACCCUUACCCUUAAUUUUAGUCUUUAAAAACGCUUGCCUGAAAGCCGUCGGGGAGUUCAGGUCCUUUAAGCAUUAGGUGCCCAUUCUCCCUGCUCGGUACCCUGCAAAUAAAUGCUGAACUUUCCUUCACCACAACCCUGUGUCAGUAGAUUGACUUUCCUGUGCAUUGGGUGAGCAAACACAAGUUUGGUUCAGUAACAACCUGUGUUUCGGUUGGGAGAGGUCAGUGGUUUUCCUUAAUGACUUUUCAGUUUUUUGAAUAUUAGGAGCACUUUCAAACACACAAAAGAAUAAACUCUCACAGCCAUCACCUAGAUUCAUGAACAAGCUUCUUCUUCAUUUGCCUUAUCUAUUUUUAUUUUUUAUUUUUGCUGAAAUAUUUUAAAGUAAAUACAAGACAUCAUUCUGUUUCAUCCUUAAAAUGUCAGUAUCUCUCUCUUAAAACAGAAGGGUGUUUUCUUAUAUAAUCACAAUAUUAUUGUCCCAGCUAAUAAAUUUCAUAUUCCCUAAUAUUUAAUACUCUGUACAUAUUCAAAAUUUACUGCUCUUCUACAGUUGAUUUAUUGAAGCCAGGAUCUAAGUAAGGGGCAAACAAUUCUCUCCAUCUGCUAAACCAGAACAGCACCUCAUUCCCCAAGCCAUUAAAGUAUUGAAGCCCUGUUGAAGGUCAUAUCUGGUGGACUUGUUUGGUUGCUUCAUCAUAGUCACCUUGAUAGCUUCAGUUUGUUAUUGAAGUUUUAUAGCCUCCUGGAGCAUAUUGAAAUACUCCCUUUUUGCUGUUCUCUAGAAGAAUCUGGAUACUACUAAGAUAAAUGUUUGUCUUUGAUGAAAUGGCCUCUAAUCCAAUGACUGGUGUCUUUAUAAGAAAAGAAAACAGAAGACAUAGGCACACACACAGUGGGGAGGCCUCGUGAAGACAAGACAGAGGUUGGAGUGAUGAAUCUACAUGCCAAGAAAGACCAUGUAUUCCUGGCAACCACCAGAAGCUAGAGGAGACGAGGAAGGAUUCUUCCCUAGAUCCUUUGGACGGAUCAUGAUCCUACCUAUACCUUGAUAUCAGACUUCUACCUUGCAAAGUUGUGAGAAAAUAUCUUUUUGGUUUAAGCCACCGAGUUUGUGGUACUUUGUUACGGCAGCCCUAGAAAACUUAAUACAGUGGUCAUGAACCCACCUCAGCCCCCAAGCUAGUGCUGUCCCCUCGACUAAUAACCCAUUCCUGCCUAGAUAUGAGAGGUGAAGGAUUGGAGGAGGUCAAGCCACAAGAGUCUUCUCACACAUUUAUUUUCACUGACCAGUUUGAGAGAUAAGCCUGUAGCAUCCUGCAACAGGGAUGCUUACACUGACAUAGCCACACAAACUCAAGCCUUCCUGUCCUUGGGAUUUACUUCGGGAUAGUAAUUAAGUUGGUUUUUCCAAGGCUGGGGGAGAAGUAAGAAUCUCUACUGUAAAAAGUAAACAGUUGAUAGUAUCCUUUAGUCUCUGCUACUUUAUCAUCAAGUGUACACAAGAUGGGUCUCCAUUUUCCCUUUUAUCCUCUGUCCUCACUUGUACUUCCCAUCCCCCAGUAUUCACCCACUCUAAUGUGUGCCGUGUAAGUCUUUAGAUAUAUGUGUUCCUUCUAAAAUAUAUCAAUUUGUGGAUGAUUGUGUCCUUAGUUUAUGUGCAGAGACUUAUGUUUUAGACCUCAUUUAUUUUCUACAAUUUAUACUCGACAUCCUUUAUUAAAAGAUCUGUGCUGGUUGUCAUGCACGUAGAAUUCAUUGUUUCUAACUUGAAUUUCACUGUAUGCACCCACCAUAUUUUAUUUAUCAUUUUCUCUAGUGAUGAACACCAAGCUGCCUCCAACUUCCCACCACUACAAACAAUGCUGCUGAUGACCAUUCUCACCCCUGUCCCUUUAAGGACCUGGGUGAGGGUCCCUCUGUUGGCUCCUAAAAUUCAGAAGAGCUGACGUAACUGGACGCUGCCUAGAUAUAUGUGGUGUGCUUCACUGGAUUGGAUAACUUCCUGAUUAAUUCCAAUUUCCUAGAGCAAAGUAGAGCCACUUGGUGACUCGGAAAUGGUCAAGACUGUAUAUCUGGCAUUGAUGCCCAUGU
Long non-coding RNA from Balaenoptera acutorostrata (minke whale), 4542 nucleotides. RefSeq lists it as uncharacterized. The record is from RefSeq and is a predicted model, not a curated record. NCBI's taxonomy places the organism in Eukaryota, Metazoa, Chordata, Mammalia, Artiodactyla, Balaenopteridae. The transcript has 5 exons.